GCGGGGAUUACUAUACAAAAAAACGGGGGUUUUGGGUCGGGGCGGUCGGAGCGAAAGAGUGAUUUUCCGCCCGGUGCGAGCGCCUCUUGCGGGUGUGCUGUUUCACUCCACGCUGAAACUCAGUCGACAGAUGCCAUUUUUUCGUACCAUUUUUUCGUAUACCAACUUGAGGGACACUUUUUCACGACACACACGAUUGUUUGAAAGUUGACUUUUCACUAGACGUCAUUUGAAUGUGUAGUUCCUAUCUGCAGCCCCCAGUCCUACAGUGUGCAAAAAUAGACAGUUGAAAACAUCUGCUCAUUGAUGCUAAUCUGCACAAUGCCGGCUUCGUGAAAUUUGCAGCUGUGGACCUUCUUUAGAUGACUCUUGUAUCAUAAAUAUUUCCCUGCUUCAUGGAACAAGGAACAUAGGAUAUCUUAAUGCCAACAAAGUGUCAUUGAACACAUUGUAAAAAGAUGUUGAGAUAUUUGACAAAUCUGUUAUCAUGUUAGUUAAAGUGGCUUUUUUGGUAUUCUUAAAUUAGCAGGAGAAACCUAAAGUUGGAGGAUGAUACAUUUGUUUCUUGUUACCAGUUUUGUAAAACAAAUGCUAAAUUGCUAAAAUGAAACAACAUGUGACCUAUUAGUUAUAAUAAAUUGUUUUCAAAAGUGGAGAUUGAUUCAAAAUCUUCAGCUUCCCAGGCAGAUACCCAACCACAAACCCAUGGGUGAUGGAUGAUGUUCACAGUGGUCAUGACUGUGUUGUAAAUUGGUAUCACUCUUACAAAGCCAAACAGAUUUAGAUCAUGUGUCUACUGUGAAAGAGAUCGUGUGUCUCAAAGAAAACGGCUCUCUCCGUUUGCGACAUCAGAUCUCCCAAGUGUGUCAUUCUGAUCCAGAACUCGUGAAAUGAAGUUGAACGUUUUGAACCAUCUCAGGCCAAAGCUGAAGUUCUAGGUUUGUCGGUUUUUUCUGCUUGUAAACCCACGAUUAAAACUAAUUGAAGUGCAAUUUAUUGUCUUGUUUGCAGAGGUAUUAGAAAAGUCUUCGCUUUUUGGUUAGUUUCUUCGUGGUCUUUAUCUGUGGAUCUGAUGCUCGACUAGGGCUCGGCCCCGUGUCCAAUGGGUAGGUAUUUGGGCAAAUGGGUAGGUCUUCUCGGCAAAAAAAUUGGAUCCGGUGGGUAACGGUUCCUAAGACUUUGUGCCCAC
Molecule: long non-coding RNA, 1189 nt
Organism: Daphnia magna
Lineage: Eukaryota; Metazoa; Arthropoda; Branchiopoda; Diplostraca; Daphniidae
Exons: 4
Source: RefSeq, a predicted model, not a curated record